RNAcentral lists this long non-coding RNA (840 nucleotides) under Equus caballus (horse). Its description in RNAcentral is "lncRNA (ENSECAG00000052967.1)". The record is from RNAcentral. Lineage: Eukaryota; Metazoa; Chordata; Mammalia; Perissodactyla; Equidae.
GUAGCCAGCUUUGAACUUCCCCCAACGAAGUCCCAACAGCCCUACUCUGAAGAAAGUGGGUCAGGGAAAGACUCCCAACCUCCCCGCCUCCACUACCAGAGCUAGGACAGGAGAGGCGAAGAAUUCUCUUUCCUCAAGGAUAAAGCGUCCAAGGCUGAGCAGGGCCCAGCCGCCCACGUGCAGGAACUGCAUUUCCCGUAGUAAACACACUGGCUUCCACACUCAUGGAGGGAUGACUGGUCUCUGGCAACCAGCAUGCACCACCCAAACCCAAGAGUCUGCACCUUCAACCAGAUGCCAGUCCAUGAAGAACACCAGACAAGCUGUGCUGAGUUGGACUAAAGAUUCAUCCAGUCUGAUCCAUCUGCUGGGUGUUUUCUACUCUGGAGAGCUUAAGGACAUCUCAGCCCAGUGACUUUUCUUCUAUGAGCCUGCUUUCAGACAGUCCGUAAAAGUUUUAAAGAAGACAAGUCCCCCAGAGGUAAUCCUUGAGGGCUCCACUCUGAAACAGGAAGACUCCAUCUGGUAUCCUGGCACCAACAGUAGUCAGUAGACUGGGUACUGGCCCCAGUUCUGACACAGUAGUUGUUAGAUUCCAGGCAAGUCAUUUAAUUUCCAUUCCUAAAAUGGUAAAAAUACCACCUGCCUCACCUCCCUUGCAGGGUUAUUCCAAGAAUUACAUGAGAUGAUGUGUGUGAAAGCACUCUGAAAAGGCUAAGCGACUGUAUAAAUAAAGGGUGUUAUUAAUAUUUCCAUCCAAAGCUCACCUGUUUAAACCAUGGUUUCCUGAAGUUAAGCCAGCUCUCUUCUUUCAUUCAAUUCAUUCCUUUGAUGUUCUUU